CGGACGGGUGAGUAACGCGUGAGAAUCUACCCUUAGGAGGGGAAUAACAGCUGGAAACGGCUGCUAAGACCCCAUAUGCCGAGAGGUGAAAAAGAUUUCUGCCUAAGGAAGAGCUCGCGGCUGAUUAGCUAGUUGGUAGGAUAAAAGACUACCAAGGCAACGAUCAGUAGCUGGUUUGAGAGGACGAUCAGCCACACUGGGACUGAGACACGGCCCAGACUCCUACGGGAGGCAGCAGUGGGGAAUAUUCCGCAAUGGGGGCAACCCUGACGGAGCAAUACCGCGUGGGGGAGGACGGCCUUUGGGUUGUAAACCCCUUUUCUCAGGGAAGAACACAAUGACGGUACCUGAGGAAUCAGCCUCGGCUAACUCCGUGCCAGCAGCCGCGGUAAGACGGAGGAGGCAAGCGUUAUCCGGAAUUAUUGGGCGUAAAGCGUCCGCAGGUGGCCUAUCAAGUCUGCUGUUAAAGACUGAGGCUUAACCUCAGAAAAGCAGUGGAAACUGACAAGCUAGAGCAUGGUAGGGGUAAAGGGAAUUCCCAGUGUAGCGGUGAAAUGCGUAGAUAUUGGGAAGAACACCUGUGGCGAAAGCGCUUUACUGGACCAUUGCUGACACUGAGAGACGAAAGCUAGGGUAGCAAAUGGGAUUAGAUACCCCAGUAGUC
Molecule: ribosomal RNA, 664 nt
Filed under: uncultured cyanobacterium
Lineage: Bacteria; Bacillati; Cyanobacteriota
Description: bacterial SSU rRNA
Rfam family: Bacterial small subunit ribosomal RNA
Source: RNAcentral